UCUUCACGCAGCUGUCUAGGGUUUUUCGCCUCUCUCUUUACUCUCUCUCGAAAACCUAGCAGUCUUCUUCUUUCUCUUUUCUCAGUUCCUCCAUGGGUAAACCUAAAUCCGCCACCAAGGUUGUUACAGCUCCUGCUGCCGUUAAGGCCAGUAAGCCUUUGAAGAAAGGCAAGAGAGAGCCUGAGGAUGAUGUUGACACCAAAGUGAGCCUUAAGAAGCAGAAGAAAGACGUGAUUGCUGCUGUUAAGAAGGAAAAGUCUGAGAAGAAGGUGCCUAAGAAGGUUGAGAGCUCUGACUCCUCUGAUUCUGAAUCUGAGGAAGAGGAGAAGGCUAAGAAGGUUCCAGCCAAGAAAGCUGCUGCCAAGGCAGCUUCUAGCAGUGAUGAAUCAUCUGACGACUCUUCUUCAGAUGAUGAGCCAGCAACCAAGAAGGCUGCUGCCACUAACGGAGUUGCAAAGAAGUCUAAAGAUGACUCAUCUUCUGAUGAUGAAUCUUCAGAGGAGGAAGUUGCUGCAACAAAGAAGCCUGCUAUAGUUGCUGUGAAGGCCAAGGCAGAGAGUUCAUCUGAUGAUGAUUCAUCUUCUGAUGAAGAAUCUGCAAAGAAACCUGCUGCUAAGAGUGCCAAGCCAGCCGCUAAAGAUUCUUCAUCAUCUGAAGAAGACUCAGAUGAGGAGUCUGAGGAUGAGAAACCUGCUGCCAAGAAAGCAGCUCCUGCUGCUGCCAAGAAGGCUGAAAGCAGCUCAGGUUCAUCAGAUGAAGAUUCUGACAAGGAAAGUGAAGAUGAGUCUAGCGAAUCUGAGGAAGAUGAAAGUGAAGAUGAGAAAGAAACCCCAGCGAAAAAGAGCUCCGAUGUAGAAAUGGUUGAUGCAUCAAGUGCAAAGCAGCCAAAGACACCAUCCACUCCUGCUGCGGGAGGAUCAAAGACACUCUUUGCUGCCAAUCUCUCUUUCAAUAUUGAAAGAUCUGAUGUCGAGAAUUUCUUCAAAGAAGUUGGUGAAGUUGUUGAUGUUAGAUUUUCUACCAAUAGAGAAGAUGGUAGUUUCAGGGGAUUUGGCCAUGUUGAGUUUGCUUCUGCGGAGGAUGCACAGAAGGCAUUGGAGUUACAUGGUAGACCUUUACUCGGCCGUGAGAUUCGUCUUGAUGUUGCACAAGAGAGAGGCGAGAGACCUGCAUUCACUCCACAAAGCGGUAACUUCAAAAGUGGUGGUGGCGGUGGUGGUGAUGGUCAAACUGUUUUUGUUAAGGGAUUUGACUCUUCACAGUCUGAGGAAGAUAUCAAGCAGGCAUUGAGGGAACAUUUUGCUUCAUGUGGUGAGAUCACAAGGGUUUCUGUCCCCACAGACCGUGAAACUGGUGCUUCCAAAGGAAUUGCUUACGUUGAUUUUUCAGAAGGCAAAGAGAAGGCUUUAGAACUAAAUGGAAGUGACAUGGGAGGAUGGGGUCUUGUAGUUGAUGAGCCUAGACCAAGAGAUAACAGUGGUGGUGGAUUUGGUAGUGGUGGAAGGAGUGGAUUUGGUGGAAGGAGCAAUGGCAGAGGAAGAGAUGGUGGUCGUGGUCGUUUUGGUAACAGUGGUGGCAGAGGAAGAGAUGGUGGUCGUGGUCGUUUUGGUAACAGUGGUGGCAGAGGAAGAGAUGGUGGUCGUGGAAGACCUAGUUUUACUCCCUCAGGUAAGAAGACUACCUUCGGUGAUUUCGAGUAGAAGCUUCUGUAGAAGAAAAGGCUCUUCUUAGGCCAUCUCCACUGGCAAUCUUUAUACAGGUUACUCGAGUGGUGAUGCUCUUAUGUUGUUAACUUGUGAUACUUCGCAUCCUUUUAUCGUUUUGUUUCUUUUUUGUUCUAGUUUCUUUUCUGUCAGAACCUUAAAUUUUUGUCUGAAUGUUAAAUUAAGCUCAAUUUUGAGUGUUUUGGGUGUUAAAUCUAA
Capsella rubella is the source of this 1922-nucleotide RNA transcript. It is a transcript of the gene named nucleolin 1, with no coding region annotated. The transcript has 15 exons. The record is from RefSeq and is a predicted model, not a curated record. NCBI's taxonomy places the organism in Eukaryota, Viridiplantae, Streptophyta, Magnoliopsida, Brassicales, Brassicaceae.